GAGUGUUUCUUUCAGUAGAUAUGGACAGUACAGGCGCUCAGGCCAUCCUGCAGCUGGGACAGGAUCUUCCAGAGAUGGUCCACCCAGAGUGUCCAUACAGAGACGUGAGGACAGAGAGGUCCAAAUCCUCUUUUCACAUGUGUUCCCUGAAUUGUGGAACAAGAUUCAGUUCUGAGAUGGGCAGGAAAAGUUUUCUUGAUAGGAGACAGAAUGAAUGGGGGGAGCCACUUUCUUGGAGGAUCUACGCUGGGUGUUUGUCUCUGGAGCCCGGGGAUGCAACAAAGCCUUGAGAGGCAAUUCCUGAGUCGAUUGCGCAGUCUUCUGAAGAACCCAAUCUUCAGAGUGGGAGAUGAUGUUUCCACGGCAACGUCUUCCUCAGGUGGCAGGCUUGUUUCAUCUUCCAAAAGGGUGUUGGAGAUCCAUGGGGCAGCCACAGCUCUGGUAUAGAUGGCACAGCUAGGAGUGGUGCUCUUCUUCUCGGGAAAAUGAAGAGCAAUGGGAGGCAUGGAGUCACUUCUGGCCAACUUGUGUCCUGAUCGUGUCAGGGCAGCAGGCCCCUGCUGUCCUGAGGGCCAGAUGUGGACGAGGCCAAAGUUGGGUUCACUGGCCCUUCUCUUUUGGGGAAGACCGGAGGGAUUCUAAGAUCUUAUUGGCAUCAAACCCCAUGCCACAGAGCAUGUCUAUGAUGGUGUAAUCUGGGAAGCUAUCAGUCGGAACAGUUACAUCACAUUUUCUGACCCACGGAUGUCUCUCAAUGUCUUCAAUGGAGGGCCUCUUCUCAGGGGGAACUGUGAAGAUCUGGUGUAUGAGAUUUUCCAGUUUAACAGACAUGUAAGGUGGAAUACGAUAGGUCCCUGUGGUAAGCCUUUUCUCCAACUCUAUCAAGGUACUUCCUGCAAAAGGGUGGUCCCCAGUGGUGAUAAAGAAUAGUAGCACACCAAGACUCCAUAUAUCUGUCUUCCUGCCAUCAUAUGGCUCCCCUAGCAGUUUCUCUGGCGCCCAAAAGGUCCUGGUCCCACACUUCCGGCUCAGUAAUCUGCCAGCACUGCAUUUUAUGGCCAGGCCAAAGUCUGUCAGCUUUACAUUUCUUUCUUCAUCGAGGAGCACAUUCUGUGGUUUAAUGUCUCGAUGGACAAUAUUAAGGUUGUGGCAAUAUUUCAGAGAGGCCACUAAUUGUCCGAAUAUAUGUUUUGCCUCUUCGUCCUGCAGUGGGCCAUGCUCUUGUAUUAAAUCAAAUAAGUUCCCUCCCGAUGCGUACUCCAGUACGAAGUUGACGUGGCUUGAUGUUAUUAGGACCUGGAAGAGGCGGAUGAUAUUAGGAUGUUUUAGUGUCGUCAGUAUUUCUCGUUCGGCCUGGAUAACGUUGAGGGUCUCCUUGCUGAUCUCUACCAUUUUUACGGCCACCAGGGCCUCAGUUUUCAGGUGUGAGGCCAAUACCACUGUGCCAAAUGUACCCUCGCCAAGAUAGAAAAGGAUCCUAUACUGACUUCCCAAUCUCUUCUUUUUGGAGUUGCUGGCCAUGAGGCUGACUUUUCCCUGUGCUCUGGUACACACAAGUUGUGAGGUUCAACAAUCGGCAAUCCACAAGCUAGACAGCUCCAAAGUAGUCCCACAGGUCACCAAAAGUAGCUCCCUGCUCUGUAUGGACAAGUACAACAGGCCGGUCCACAGUCUUAUACAGAGGACACUCAUUCUUCCAUCACAGAGGUUCUCUGUGAGGUCAGAGCAAAAACUGCACCAAGCAGAGAAGGUUAUAACCCUUAGUGGCUGUCCUCACUCUGGGCCAGAGGGACUUUUCCAUUCUCAUGAAAAUGAGACUAGCCUCUCUCAACUUCCUCUUCAGCAGAUCAGAGACAGAUAUUUACUUCUUUAGCAAUUACAGGCAGCAGAGUGCAGUGGUGGCCUCUGUAGCUGGAUGCUGAGUAUGUCAAACCAACCAUUGGGGCUUUCAAGGAUGACGUGCAUUUUGGACAAGUGUUCUGAGAGAGAGGCUACGUCAUCACAAAAUGUAACUGGGAGGUUUUCCACCCAGCCACUUUGAUAACAGAAUAGACUCUGAGGUUUAAUUCCUCACAAAGAUAUACCUAGGCCAUAAGCUUUGACCAGUUCCCCAGCUGGCCUGUAAGUGAUACAACCUCUUGAUUCUAGUCUGUGUCUGCCGCAUGGAUGGUUAUCUCUCCUGAAAUUCAUGUUUCUGCCUUCUUCAGAGUUCAAGGUCAUUCUGUAGGUCUUCACUGUUUUCCAGAGUCCUAUUUCUCUCUGCCUGAUGUCCCACUUUGUAUUUCCUGCCUUGCUUAAUUGUCCAUCAGAUUUUAAUGACAAGUGAUGCCUCUACACAGGAUUAAAGAGAUUCUCUUUAUAUAUUCCCCUCCACAGUCCAAAUACACACCCAUCUGUAACAUUAGUAAACUACAAUCCAGAGGAGCAACUAUGAAAACCAGCAGAUAAGAAUUACAUUCACAGUGUCCAUUCUAUCUGCACUUGGCCACAUUGGGGAAAAGUACUCUACAAUCAGAACUAUCUUGGUGAUGGAGUUUGAGUUUCUAUACAGAAAUCAUUUUCUAUCAAACUAUCCAUUUAUAAAGCUAAGAAUAUCUUAGACCUUAUGACAUUUUCUCACACAAGUUAAGCUGAAAUGUGAGACUAUGACGACCCAAUCUUCAAUCUUUUCAGGGACAUGAGGAGUUAGAAGGCCUGAGUAUCCUAAAAAUACAACACAAGCAACUUCCAAAUCUAUAGACACGACAGAGGUAGCUGGUUCCUCAGACACUCACCUGAAAUGUCUAUGAGUCUUUGGAUCAUCCACCUUCAGCCUUCUGGCUCAGAAUAUCUGACAGACUUUUCUGUAAAGCAGGAAUUAUGAAAGACUCCUCAUCUUCUUGGGGUAGAGCUCGGCCAUCAACUUCCUUGUGUAUUGUUUAUCCACAGCUUGGACAGCAUUCUGUCUGCAAUCUAGGCAAGCACAAUUUCUUGCCUAGUGUCUAGCUUGUCACAUUUGAAGCAAACUCCAUACAGAGGUUCUUCAGUGUCCAUCAUCUUUGAAGUGGUGUCAGUAUGCUGCCAGGAACAGACAUUUCUCACUUGAAGAGCGUUUUAUUAAUAAAACAUCUUUAAAUGUCA
RNAcentral lists this long non-coding RNA (3120 nucleotides) under Mus musculus (house mouse). Its description in RNAcentral is "predicted gene 1559 (Gm1559)". Lineage: Eukaryota; Metazoa; Chordata; Mammalia; Rodentia; Muridae. The record is from RNAcentral.